UUGUUUUAGAGCGUAAGGAGCUAAAUAUUAGUACUAGAUUUGGUGGGCUAGUUGUUUCUCCGCGAGGUUCAGAGGGGAGACAAAAUGGCAGGGCGGCGGGGGCCAUGUACAUCUCCUGCCCGGCCCGCACCGACCGGCCCGCACCGCCCGGUCCCGGAGGAUCCGGACCGGUCUUCCCACACGCCCGGGACUUAAGACCUUCAGGAGGAGCCAAACAGCGCCCAACUUCCCCUUAAGGGCCGCGAGGGUCAAGGUGUAGGUGGCUGAGGGGUUUCACUGCUUAACUGAAAUAUUGUUAUGGAGAUCUGCGAAGAUACAUGUACCACACCUUUAAUGUAAAAAGUGGAAAAGAAGAACUUCGACGAAAACUCCUCCAGAAAGCAACGAAAGGAUGACGGUUUGAGCUGUGUGGGGCUUCUCUGGGAGAAGAGACGUGGACAAGCGACAGUGUUCGCUACCUUAGCCCUGUCCUGUGCCUCCUGCUGCCCCUGCCGUGCCUGUUGCAGCUGUGCCUCCAGCGAGCCUCGCUCCUCCAGCACGCCCUUCAGCUGCAGCGCCAGCUCCUCGCUGUACCGGUGUGUCUGCAUCACGAUGGUGUCCCGCUGUGCCAGCUGGUCCUCCACCACGUUCAGCGUGUUGUUGAACUGCUCGCGCAUGCUGGCUUCCUGCGACAGAGACUUGUGCAGGCUGGAGAGGAGGAAAGGUUCAGGAUUGUCAGGAACAAGUACCAGUAUCAUUCAACCACGGAACAACACACAAACAGCAUAUAUGCUGCUUAAGGACCCACAUGUACAUUUGAUAUGAAAUGCUUUACUAUAUUUUGUCUUCAAACAGAUUUAUGCAUUCUGAACUCAUGGAAACAGGAACUGAUAGCAAGCUGAGUUCAACUUAGCAAGACUACCAGCAUUAAGUAAAGCAUUGCACAUGGUUGCAAUCAAAAUUCUAUUCUACAUGUAGGUUCAGUUUAUUUCAGUACAGUUAGCUGUGCAGACUCAGAGCAAUCCCAACUUGAUCAUCUAGUAAACACCAAAGAUGUACAUGUACAUGUAUGCAGGAUUUCCCAAAUGCUAGUAGUAUAUCUGAUCCACGUUGGGGUAUCAUUUAUAGAUAAUCACGAGAAUAAAGGUAUGAAAGGAAAAUGAA
This is a long non-coding RNA of Branchiostoma floridae (Florida lancelet), 1143 nucleotides long. RefSeq lists it as uncharacterized. Lineage: Eukaryota; Metazoa; Chordata; Leptocardii; Amphioxiformes; Branchiostomatidae. The record is from RefSeq and is a predicted model, not a curated record. The transcript is spliced from 2 exons.